GAAUAUUGGACAAUGGGGGAAACCCUGAUCCAGCGACGCCGCGUGUGUGAAGAAGGCCUGCGGGUUGUAAAGCACUUUCGAUGGGAACGAAAUAUGCCGGGCUAAUACCCCGGUAGGCUGACGUUACUCAAUGAAGAAGCACCGGCUAACUCUGUGCCAGCAGCCGCGGUAAUACAGAGGGUGCGAGCGUUAAUCGGAAUUACUGGGCGUAAAGCGCGCGUAGGUGGUUGGUUAAGUUGGAUGUGAAAGCCCCGGGCUCAACCUGGGAACUGCAUCCAAAACUGGGCGACUAGAGUACAGUAGAGGGUGGUGGAAUUUCCUGUGUAGCGGUGAAAUGCGUAGAUAUAGGAAGGAACACCAGUGGCGAAGGCGACCACCUGGACUGAUACUGACACUGAGGUGCGAAAGCGUGGGGAGCAAACAGG
Molecule: ribosomal RNA, 425 nt
Filed under: uncultured bacterium
Lineage: Bacteria
Description: bacterial SSU rRNA
Rfam family: Bacterial small subunit ribosomal RNA
Source: RNAcentral